GGAAGCACUUAUGUACUGGUGUGCAUACAGGUCUUCAAAACCUUGUUGUGAGUGUAACAGCUCAUAGGUGGGUUAGAUUCCCAUGUGCUUCCGCCA
Molecule: transfer RNA, 96 nt
Filed under: Bacilli bacterium
Lineage: Bacteria; Bacillati; Bacillota; Bacilli
Description: tRNA-Sec
Rfam family: Selenocysteine transfer RNA
Source: RNAcentral